CCCUUAGAUGUUCUGGGCUGCACGCGCGCUACACUGAUGCAUGCAACGAGUUUUCGACCUUGCCUGAAAAGGUUGGGUAAUCUGUUUAACAUGUGUCGUGAUGGGGAUAGACCAUUGCAAUUAUUGAUCUUCAACGAGGAAUUCCUAGUAAGCGCGAGUCAUCAGCUCGUGCUGAUUAUGUCCCUGCCCUUUGUACACACCGCCCGUCGCACCUACCGAUUGAAUGGUUCGGUGAAGAUCUCGGACUUCGAUAUUUGUUCUUCAUUGAACUUAUAUAGUGGGAAGUUAUCUGAACCUCAUCAUUUAGAGGAAGGUGAAGUCGUAACA
This 327-nucleotide ribosomal RNA is filed under the name uncultured eukaryote. Its description in RNAcentral is "partial 18S ribosomal RNA". It matches the Rfam family "Eukaryotic small subunit ribosomal RNA", at positions 1470 to 1796 of the family's 1831-position model. The record is from RNAcentral.